This 804-nucleotide long non-coding RNA is filed under the name Ricinus communis (castor bean). RNAcentral describes it as "long non-coding RNA (RCOM_LNC003126)". The record is from RNAcentral. Lineage: Eukaryota; Viridiplantae; Streptophyta; Magnoliopsida; Malpighiales; Euphorbiaceae.
AUUGGGUCUCGCAGCUGGCAUCUUCAAUUACAACAAUUAUGAACCUUAAAAAGAAUAUCAACAUCAAAUCAGUAAUCCAUAUGAUUCAAGAUUAUUGAUUAUGAUCACAAAAAGUAAUAAACUCAAGCCAGCAGAAAUAAAAUCAGCCAAAACAUGGUUUAAAUGUUCAAUUGCAAUCUCCCCUGACAUAAGUUCAAUCAAGUUGCAAAAUAAACACAUUACUUAGUUUCAAUCUAAAUUUGCUAAAAGUGCAUGAAAUGAAAUUAAAGCAAUCAUCUAUGAAAGUCAUAAUAACAACAGAUCAACCAGAUUUUAUUUUUAAACAAAAAAGAAAUCAAAACUAAUUAGAAACCUAAUUGUUUUUCCUUUUCAACGAAAUAUAUAAAUCAAUCAAUAAAGAAAAAAAAAAUACAAAAGCUAAACAAUAACCGCUAUUUCAAAGCUCAUAAUUUUGAAACUGAAGCUGGAUAUGGCAACUGAAUCAAUCAUUAGGGUUACAAAGGAAGUCAGUUCAAAUCAUCAUGCCAAAACAAACCAUGAACAUCUUAAUCAAGUAUAAAACAUGAAACUAAAACAGAUACAAUGUAUAUAGCGAGAGAGAGGGAGAGAUUUAUGUAUAGGUAGAUUACCUUGAGAAGUUGAGGGUUUUAUGGAAAAGUCUCUAGAGAGAGAAACAAGUGUGGAGAAAAUGAAGGAGUUUCGUAGAGGAACCAAACACCACCAUGCUCUGUGUAUACAUGUCAAGGAAUUGGAGGAGAUCCAUAUUUAUACCCUCUGUUGCCGUUCACGCGGGGUAUUCUGUUG